UACGUAGGGUGCAAGCGUUGUCCGGAAUUAUUGGGCGUAAAGAGCUCGUAGGCGGUCUGUCGCGUCUGCUGUGAAAACUCAGGGCUUAACCCUGAGCUUGCAGUGGGUACGGGCAGACUAGAGUGCGGUAGGGGAGACUGGAAUUCCUGGUGUAGCGGUGAAAUGCGCAGAUAUCAGGAGGAACACCGAUGGCGAAGGCAGUUCUCUGGGCCGUAACUGACGCUGAGGAGCGAAAGCGUGGGGAGCGAACAGG
RNAcentral lists this ribosomal RNA (253 nucleotides) under uncultured bacterium. RNAcentral describes it as "partial 16S ribosomal RNA". It matches the Rfam family "Bacterial small subunit ribosomal RNA", at positions 524 to 776 of the family's 1533-position model. The record is from RNAcentral.